AGAAAAAGAAAAAAAAGAAGACGGGGAAGAAGAAGAAGAAUGCAAACAAUUACAAUAGGUACUUUCACACCUUCGGUGAGAGAAAAAGUACAACUGCUCCUUCCUGUAAAGGAGGCGGGAACAUUUAAAGAAAGAGCAGUGCUGUGAUUGGCUCCUGUUCGGGCUACUUCCUGAAUAAACAAAAACAGAGCAGAACAGUUGGGCAGGUUUUGGCCCAGAGCUGAACUGCAGAAGAAGCUGAUAAACGAUACCUCAGUGGGUUCACCUUCCUGCACUGUCUCUGUGUGUCCAGGACAGAACGUCUGGAUGUAAUCUGCCGUGUAAGUGAGGACGGGGUGUUUCAGAAAGGAAGAGAGAAAGUGAAACUGCUAGGAGAUUUAAAAGUUUUUGGGAGGAGUCACAGCAACAUCUUCACUGAGAAGAAUAAUGGAAAAAGGAUAUGAAAUUCUCUCAAAUAACACAUAUACAAAUGAUGUCAGUGUUAAUAUCACAGAGGAGUCUGAGUGCUUCAUUUGCAGAGAUGUGGGCCUGAUGGGUGAAGAUCCGCUGAGGACCUUCUGUGACUGUAAGAACCUUGUGGCUCACCACAGCUGUCUGCUAACCUGGAUCAAAACGGGUCUUGGACGAGUGGAGAGACUCAAGUGUAGCGUCUGCAAUGCUGAGUAUCAGCUACAGAGAUGUGCACCCUGGCGGACCGUGGCCUCUCAGUGGCAGACCUGGUCCAUUCUAGCCAUCGCUGUUCUUCUACUGGCUCUUGUGCCGUAUGUGGUGUACCGGAUGAUGACCGCUUUUGACAAUCCCCCUCCACACUCGCUCUUCAAGACAGCUGCAAUCUGCUUUGGCCUGCUUAGUGAAGCCCUGUUGAUCAAGUGCUUGUGCAGUUACUUCAGCCAUCGACUCCAGCGAGCAGAGGAAAGCUCCUUUAGCCUCCAGCCUCGCAAAUCUGAAGAGCAUGAAGUCCAUAGCAGUCUGAGGCAGUGCGUCACGGCAGGGGUCAAAGGUUAAGACUCACAGGCAGUGGUGGGAGAAAGGAACCUCCUUGGUUGUAAGCUCUGAGAAGAGAGGAUCAGGGCUUCUAAUGUUAAAUAUGACCAGAGGGAAUAAUAAUAAUUAAAGAAAAGACUUAUUUAAAUGUCUGGAGAGAUCCUGCUGCCGACACUGGCAGAGUUUCAGCAGACGAAACCCAGCGUAAGCAGCAAAAGAAAUUGAUGAUGCCGCCGAUCUGUUCUCCUGAGUUGAAAAUGAAUGGAUGCUUUAUUGUUCUUAGAUGGAUUUCGAUUGUAUGAUCAAAACAGUUGAGUUGGUACAAAGCUUUAUCAAUUUAUUUUAUCAAUAUCCCAAAGCAUUUUUGCUAUACAGUAUAAUAGUUUUAUAUAAUUCAUUGCACAUGUCACUUUUUAAUGGUUUGACUUUUUCAAGGGAUUUCAAGAACUUCUGAGCCCAUCUGUCAAGGACUUUCAGAAACAGUUCUGAUACAAUCCGAAUGUAAAAAGUAUACAUAUUUUUUUUCCACCUUUCCAGAAACAAACUUAAUGAUCCAGUCAAGUUCCUUAUAAAAAUGUCAUUACCAGUGCAAGCUGUGCUUAUGUUUGUGUUAUUUUAAGAAAUGUAUAAAGAUGUAUUUAAAAAAAACAAAACAAAAAAAACAUCACUUGUCUAUUCUUCAUCUUUGUGCUAAGAACAAGUAACAUUCUUAAACUAUGCUUGCAGUGCUGAAUAAUGUAGCAAUAUUCUACUGACAUGACAAAUGAGGAUUGAGACCAUGGUAACAGGUGGAGCGCUGUACAUCAGUUAUCCAGAGGGUCUGGCUGCAGACUUGCACUUGCACUCUCAGACUUGCAUUCUCAGACUUGCACUCUCAGACACUUGCACUUCCGCUAGCGAUUUUUUUUUAUUUUAUUUAUUUUUUUUAUUUAUUUUUUUUUACUUUUUGUUUGAAUUUACCAACAUUUUACAACAGUAGCCAGGUGGUGAAGACAAGAAAAAAAAAAAAACUAAAUUACAAGUCACUUGCAAUCGCUACUUGCACUCUCUUCUACCUGCGACACUUGCAAUCGACACAAAUCGUUCAUGUUGCCAAUGGAGACAAGACGCUGUGGUGGUGAUUAAACGCAACGCGCAAAGUUUUGCAUUAAGCAUUUUUCCAUAGAGAAUAAACUGUCCACAACUCGUUUAUAUCACUGUCUUUGUCCAUUAACCUACAUUAUGUGUUUUAUUUAUAAUGAUUUUCUAUAGGAGGAAAACGUGUAAUGUACAUUUUAACGCACUGCGUUCUGUACUCGUCUGCUUGCCUGUACGGAGCUGAUUCUUUUAAAAUCACUUAAUGCAUUUCAUAAUGCACAUUCAUAUUUGCUGAUCUGUAUAUACUUUGAGUCAACAACAAGACAUAUAGGCUGUGCCUACUGAAUUGUCUUUAUCAUCUUAGUCUGUUAUUAGGCCACAUUAAGUGUUCGCAUUGUGUUCAUAGCCAUCUGCUUGCCUUGUAGUACAUUAAAUAAUAAUUAUAUAUCGAAUUUGGUCUUUUAAUUGAACUUAACGUAUCCUAAUACAUUAUGCCAUAUUAACUGUUUAACUUCUUGUAUUUUUUUUGCAGGACCUUAUACAUUAUAGUAGUAGGCCUACUAAUUAAGUUUUAAUCGUUAAAUCACUGCCACAGCGUCUUGUCUCCAUGGGCAACAUGCACGAUGUGUGUUGAUUGCAAGUGACGUCACAGGUAGUGGAGAGUGCAAGUAGCGAUUGCAAGUGACAUUGUAAUUUAGUUUCUUUUUUCUUGUCUUCACCACCUGGCUACUGUUGUAAAAUGUGCACAAGUGUCUGAGAUUGCAAGUCUGAGAGUGCAAGUGCAAGUCUGCAGCCAGACCCUUCUCUCAGUUACUGUAUUCCUGCAUGUUGAUAGGCUCAUAGAGCUGAGUGGGAGCAGUCGGUAAUCUCUUUUCUUUAUCUGCAGAGUGUGUACAUGUAUCAUAGAGUGUGUGUAAUUUAAAUGAAUUCCCUUUAUUUUGCUUUAUUUUCCUUGCCCCCAUAGACCAGUGUAACAUGAUGCAUGUAUGCGUGUAUAUUAUUACUGCGGUUCAGUUAAAUUUUAAUCAUAAAAAGCAUCAACUGAUUACAAAAUAUCUAAAUAAUCG
Carassius auratus (goldfish) is the source of this 3128-nucleotide long non-coding RNA. NCBI's taxonomy places the organism in Eukaryota, Metazoa, Chordata, Actinopteri, Cypriniformes, Cyprinidae. The record is from Ensembl.